CUACGGGAUGCAGCAGUCGAGAAUCAUUCGCAAUGGACGAAAGUCUGACGAUGCGACGCCGCGUGAGGGAUGACGGCCUUCGGGUUGUAAACCUCUGUCACAAGGAAAGAAACGUGUAAGGACCAAUACCCCUUACAUUUGACGGUACCUUGAGAGGAAGCUCCGGCUAACUCCGUGCCAGCAGCCGCGGUAAUACGGAGGGAGCAAGCGUUGUUCGGAUUUACUGGGCGUAAAGGGCGUCUAGGUGGCUGUAUAAGUUGGAGGUGAAAUCCCUUGGCUCAACCGGGGAAUUGCCUUCAAAACUGUAUGGCUUGAGUGUAGGAGAGGAAAGCGGAAUUCCUGGUGUAGCGGUGAAAUGCGUAGAGAUCAGGAGGAACACUGAUGGCGAAGGCAGCUUUCUGGUCUAACACUGACACUAAAGCGCGAAGGCUAGGGGAGCGAACGGGAUUAGAUACCCCAGUAGUC
Molecule: ribosomal RNA, 465 nt
Filed under: uncultured bacterium
Lineage: Bacteria
Description: partial 16S ribosomal RNA
Rfam family: Bacterial small subunit ribosomal RNA
Source: RNAcentral